RNAcentral lists this long non-coding RNA (1470 nucleotides) under Triticum aestivum (bread wheat). Its description in RNAcentral is "long non-coding RNA (TAES_LNC027020)". The record is from RNAcentral. Lineage: Eukaryota; Viridiplantae; Streptophyta; Magnoliopsida; Poales; Poaceae.
UGAAUCUUACCCACAUAUCAAAUUUAUGUAUAGCUUGUGUUCACACAUUCAUGUUUGCCCUUUGCAUCAGAAACAACUAAAGUUAGCUCACACACCUUAGUAGAGAUGCACCAUGACCGAUGCCUUCCCAUGGAAACAACACUUGUUGACGAUUCUUGCAACAUAUCUCGGCGCUAAUUUGUCAUAAUCACCAAAGCCUGAAGCACCCACGGUGGACCACUGGAAGCUGGGCAUGAGGGGUAAAGUGUUCUACUGCCGUCAAUGCCCGUAGUGGCUCAUCCAGUACCAAACAGUACAGUCGGGCCCCUUGUCGAUCCCUCCACGAUCGAUAGUGCCAUGUGCACAAACCAUUUUCUGUCUUUAUCAUCACCUGCAAUCACAAAAUGAUCAAAACCAAGAAAAUAAUAACAAAACCAAAGAACACCAAAGGACAGUGUAUCCAAUAAAUCAACACCAACGAUGCAACAAUAAUUAGACAUACAACAACAACACUAAAGGAGUUCACAGCACCUACUUGUUUUUUGUGGGUAUAUAUAAGCUCUCACAUUUUGCAUUACAAGUAAGAGACCAAAAAAUGAUACAUACUUGCCCGUGCAUUGCAAUGGGGCGAAAAUAUUCUAGUUGUGUUCCACACCAGUUUGUGUUAAAUAUGUAGUACCUGACCAAGUAGUACCCGACAACCUUGUUAUUCAUUUGGCUGCCUUUGGCAACCUUUGUUAACCUGACCAAGUAGCAGCAUUGAUGUUUCGAAAAAAAGUAGCAGCACUGAGGACAAUGAAGAUCAUACCCUCCCAUCAAUCUAUGUUCAUGCUAAAAAAGGCAUUAUUUUGUUGGAUAUAAUUAGUAUUCUGGAGCAUGUGAAAUGGGGAGCACACUACCUUUAGGGUUAGAAUCUCAUGAAGUUGCGAUUCUAAUGGUGUCAACGCUCUACAGCUAAACACAAUUGAGAUAUCCGUAUUUAGGAUAUGAACACUAUUCAUAGAAACAAAAAUGUAUCAUAAAAAUAUAAGAACCAAAAGGAGACAGGGAUGCCUUAGAAGAUACCACUAAAAGGCAGAUCAGGAAAAUCAUCACUUAUUGAUGCCACAUUUGUCGUUAUCUCACUGCCCGAUUAGAUAAUUUGGGAAAAGGAAAUGAUAACUCAACCUGCCUUUUCUGAAUUUGGAAGAAACAUAGGAGUGUGGAAGCUCGGUGUCAUCACCUGACUUGAUUCCAGCGAGCUUGUCCAUGGUGAUGAUUGCCUACAAUACCACAGACGUGACUCGCCCCACGCUAGCUACUGCUUCGCCGCUGCCUCACUUUUCACAGGGGUUCCUUGUCAAGGCUUGAUGCAUGUGUACUACAUUCAGAGUUUUGGUCUGCAUGUAAACAAAAGAUAGAGGCGAGCCCUCAAAAUUAAGACAAAUUUAUCCUACAGCAUCGGACAUUUCCAAUCAAUCAAUGGAGCAUUCCAUGUCAUGCAUAUAUUUC